This 3885-nucleotide long non-coding RNA is filed under the name Sus scrofa (pig). Its description in RNAcentral is "lncRNA (ENSSSCG00045003615.1)". The record is from RNAcentral. Lineage: Eukaryota; Metazoa; Chordata; Mammalia; Artiodactyla; Suidae.
AGGUUCAUUCCCACCCCCCAAGGAUGUUGGGCGUCUUUUUUCUGACACAAUAUACGUAGUUCUUUUUUUUCCAACGCUAAUGAAUUCUCUAACUCGAAAGGUGUUCAACGAUUCAAUUCUGAGACUAACUGCUUAGAAUUCUAGAAGACUCCACAGGUCAAGGGCCCGGUGCCACAAGACUGUUUUCACUUCAGAUGCCUGCUGUGGGCUGUGCACAUUUCUGCUCAGCUGACUACAACCACCCGCCCCUCAGGCUAGAGAAUUCUCUAGAACUCAGGAGAAGACUUUAUAUGCGUCAGCUUGCUGUAAAGGAUAUAACUCAGGAACGACCAGACGAAAACCGGGCAGCGUUUGGGAGUGGGGGCAGUGUACAGAGGUCCCACGCAUCUGCCCGGCGUGCUGCCUCUCAGCACAACGUGUUCAACAGCCCAGAACCUCUCCCAGCCGUUAAAGACGGGCGGGCACACGUGCACACACACAGUGGCUUCCAGAAGACACAGCAACGAGAACAAUCACGGCAGAACACAAUGUGUUUCCAGAAAUCACCCUUUCCCCAUCCCCAUUAAAUGUCUCUAGAAGGAUACACAACAUGUCAGCAACUGUGGUGUCCGAGGAGGGGCCUCAUGUGAGGCAGAGGCUCUUUUUUUUUUUCGUCUGUUUAUGGCCGCACACGUGACCUGUGGGAGUUCCUAGGCCAGGGAAUGAAUCCUACCUGCGCUGUGCAAGACCUACGCUGCAGCUGCAGCAAUGGUGGAUCCUUUAACACACUGCGCUGGGCCAGGGAUUGAACCUGCACCUCCACAGCAACCGGAGCCACUGCAUUCACAUUCUUAACCCAGUCAGUUCCAUGGCUGGAACUCCUGCUUUCCUGCUUUUUAAUUCUUUACCACUUUCAUGGACUGCGUUUUCAACUAAAGUAAAAAUAUUUGGUUCCAAGCAGAGAACUACAAACCCAGACACAGGCAUGUGAAAGCUCUCAGAUGACAAAUGGCAGGAACACAGCAGAGUGAGCCUUAGCGAUACAGGAGGCUCUGCCGGCCAUCUAUUGGGCAUCUCAUAGCAUAAGUGCAGCCCGACCCUGGGUGCCAGGGAAAUGCCAGCUCUCCACCCUGUCUGUCUCUAUAAGGCCACACGCCCAUCUCUGCUCCUCACCAUCUCUGUGUUCUUACCCUGCCCGUGGUAGGAAGCAGCACCAGGUGGAGCAGCCUCAGCCCCCAGGAUGACCUGUGCUCGCUAGUCUAGUAGGCACAGCUGACUCUGAGGAUCUCGGAGUCCAGUUACACAUCUGGGAGAGAAGUGCCCACACUGGGGCCCCAGCUCCCCUGGGAGGAAGUUCAGACCCAAGAUUGCUGCUCCUCCAGCAUAAGAAUCCAACUGGGGCCCUGGUCAUGACCCUGCCACGGGGCCCCCCAGGCAACUUGAUCACGUGGAGCACAUAUCAUUCUUCAUGGGACCUCCAGGGAGGCCACACCUCACCAGAAGUCUUGCUCUGGACAUGGUGGCUCAGUCCCCCGGGAGCAGCACGUAGCUGACUUGGGUUCAGCUGGGGCAGGAGCCGUGGGUGAGGAGGAGACACUGUGGCAUAAGGCCCGGACAGGACCAGGCUCUCCCGACUGCUGUGGGAUGGACGUGGACCAUGGCGGAGGGAGCACUGGGCCACAUCUUCCUUCUCGUCUCAGCAUGUGCCACUACGCUGGGCUGCACCUGCCCGAGAGCUGGUCUUCUCGGUGCCUGGCGCCCCACCUCCGCUCAGGUCCGCAUCCACACACGCUGUGGGUCAUCCUCAGCUGCCAUCACCCACAUCCCGGAGAGGCGAGGCCUCGCUCGGGCAGCUCCUCUGGGGGACCUCCAGCCCAUCAGAACAUCAACCACAUCAUCAACCACAAAAACGCCAAAGGCAAGAGCAGCAAUAACAAGAGGCGGUACAGGGAGUUCCCAUCGUGGCUCAGUGGUUACGAACCUGACUAGGAACCAUGAGGGUUUUCUAGAUGCAUUACACACACACCCUCUAUAACCUCAAGUCUCUUGGUCAAGGGUCAGCUCCUUCCUGUGGUCCACACAGGGAUGGUCCUUUUUCACUCACUGAGCAAAUAUUUUUUUUCUUUUAGGGCCGCACCCAUGGCAUAUGGAAGUUUCCAGGCUAGGGGUCAAAUAGGAGCUGUAGCUACGAGCCUACACCAUAGCCUUAGCAACUCAGGAUCUGGGCCGCAUCUGUGACUUACACCACAGCUCAAGGCAAGAUCAGAUCCUCAACCCAAUGAGCAAGGCCAGGGAUCGAACCCACUUCCUCAUGGAUGCUAGUCUGCUUUGUUUCCACUGAGCCACAAUGGGAAAUCCCUCACUGAGCAAACGUUUUACUGAACACCUAUUAUGUGCAAAGCAGGGCCGAUUCAGUAACAGAUGCACGCCACAGCCACUAGGUGGAGGCAGACCUCCACCCACUGGAGAUGGCACCCUAGUAGGGAAGACGCAAAGGAUAAAAUGCAAAAUCUCUCACUAUCAAACACUACUGCCAACUCAGAAAGCACACAGAUCUGGGUCACUUUUUGGAGCUAGGGCUGGUGGCCCUGGUGGCCUCAAUCUCCACCCACUGUCUAUAACUCAGAAACGAACCAGAUUCAGGGAGCACACUGCCUAAGAAAGGAGGCAGGGCUCUGAUUUUCACCUGUAGUCCUGCAGCAAAGAGCUGGUGACCAGCAGUCCCAGCCUCUGGAGGAUUCUGGCUGUUGUGAAACCAGGGAAGCCAUGGGGGACUUGGAACAGAGAUGGGACAUGAAGCGACGCAUGACCUGACAGGCUCCUACUGGGGAGCUCCUGGUGGGAGGUCAGAGGAGCAGGGAGGAGGUGCCCUUAGAGGGAGAGGGGUGGUGAAGUGGCUGAAUUCUGGAAAUAUUUUGAAGGUACAGUCAUGGGAUUUUCAGGCAGAGAUGAGAGAAACACCAAGGUGGGCUGAGGAAUGCGGGCAGAAGAAGGACUGAAGAGCUUCCGCUGAGGCCCCCAGGGUCGGAGGUGUCUGUCUCAGGGGCUGGGGGUGGUGAGGGUGGAAGGCAGUUUCAAGGUAUUAGCGGCCUGUGGGGAAGGAUAGUUCAGUGCAUGGCCGGGGUCUGGGGGUGAAGGAAAGUUCGCAGUGGGCCUAGCAGACCCGAUCUUUGUUAGGGGAAAUGGGGGGGGGGGGCAGGAACAGGGUUGUUGUACAGGAAGCUGGGAAAGAGGGGGAAACAUCCCUGGGAGUGGGACAAGGGAACGGAAGAGGAUGUCCAGGCCCAAGCUUGGCAUCGGGGAGGAGAGGAGAGGGGAGGGCGGGUGCACCUGCGCACGGAGGAGGGGGGUGCGCACCUGAGCAGGUGAGGACGGCCAGGACCUGUUCCUGAGGAGGUUGGGAGUCGCGCCCAAAGGGAGGGAGAAAGAAGGGGGACCCGCUCAUGCCGGAAGAGAAAGGAAGAGAAAAGAUAAAGGAGAGGGAUACGGGGGUCUGAGCCUCACAGUGACGAGGGGAGAUUGGGGGGCCCGCACCUCACAGGAGGGCAGCAUAGGGCUCCGCGUACCUCACAGUAGGAGAGACUGGGGGAUCCACGCAACUAACAGGAGGACAGAAUGGGGGAUCCACGCACCUCACAGGAGGUCAGAGUAGGGGGUCCACGCACUUGGGCAAAGAUGUACCUGCGCCCCCGGCCUGCCCGAGACCCUGCCGUCAUCCUCGCCCACCCGCUCUCGCCCAGCCCGGAAGCGGCCGCCCCGAAGCUUCCAGCGCCCUGCACUCCCCGACGCACCCCGCGGCCAGGCCUAGUCCCCGCUCGCCGCCCGAGAAGCCCCUGAAGGAAACUCACUCGCCCGGCGCCACCAGGUCCACCACCGCGCGUCGCCGGGCUGCGCUCUUCCGGGAGC